AAAUGGGUAAAUGGAUGAAAUUAUAAGCAAGGUUUGUAACAUAAAAAGGAACCUAACCUAUCUUAUUAAUUAUAGAAAUUUUAUGUCAUUCAAAAAAUUAACAUUAAAGAUAAUGAUAUCUUAUGUUACAAAUAAAACUUCCAAAACGUUCAAAGAUAUUCAAAGCUGGGAAUGUACGGAUGAAUUUUUAUUAACAGCAAUUAAUAUUUCUGGAAUAAUAAUUUUUGGAUUCUUUCUCAUUUUGAUUUAUUACAUUAUUGAUUUGUCAAGUAAUUGGUUAGAUGACUAAACUGGCAGAAAUGUUGUGAAAAUCGUGGUGCUGAAAAAAAAUUGUGAAUAUUAAAAUAGUGCUAUGUUUAAAUACAAAUAAAUGAUUUCAAUAACA
Onthophagus taurus is the source of this 385-nucleotide non-coding RNA. The record is from RefSeq and is a predicted model, not a curated record. NCBI's taxonomy places the organism in Eukaryota, Metazoa, Arthropoda, Insecta, Coleoptera, Scarabaeidae.